GGGUUGUGAGGUUAAGCGACUAAGCGUACACGGUGGAUGCCCUGGCAGUCAGAGGCGAUGAAGGACGUGCUAAUCUGCGAUAAGCGUCGGUAAGGUGAUAUGAACCGUUAUAACCGGCGAUUUCCGAAUGGGGAAACCCAGUGUGUUUCGACACACUAUCAUUAACUGAAUCCAUAGGUUAAUGAGGCGAACCGGGGGAACUGAAACAUCUAAGUACCCCGAGGAAAAGAAAUCAACCGAGAUUCCCCCAGUAGCGGCGAGCGAACGGGGAGGAGCCCAGAGCCUGAAUCAGUGUGUGUGUUAGUGGAAGCGUCUGGAAAGGCGCGCGAUACAGGGUGACAGCCCCGUACACAAAAAUGCACAUGCUGUGAGCUCGAUGAGUAGGGCGGGACACGUGGUAUCCUGUCUGAAUAUGGGGGGACCAUCCUCCAAGGCUAAAUACUCCUGACUGACCGAUAGUGAACCAGUACCGUGAGGGAAAGGCGAAAAGAACCCCGGCGAGGGGAGUGAAAAAGAACCUGAAACCGUGUACGUACAAGCAGUGGGAGCACGCUUCGGCGUGUGACUGCGUACCUUUUGUAUAAUGGGUCAGCGACUUAUAUUCUGUAGCAAGGUUAACCGAAUAGGGGAGCCGAAGGGAAACCGAGUCUUAACUGGGCGUUAAGUUGCAGGGUAUAGACCCGAAACCCGGUGAUCUAGCCAUGGGCAGGUUGAAGGUUGGGUAACACUAACUGGAGGACCGAACCGACUAAUGUUGAAAAAUUAGCGGAUGACUUGUGGCUGGGGGUGAAAGGCCAAUCAAACCGGGAGAUAGCUGGUUCUCCCCGAAAGCUAUUUAGGUAGCGCCUCGUGAAUUCAUCUCCGGGGGUAGAGCACUGUUUCGGCAAGGGGGUCAUCCCGACUUACCAACCCGAUGCAAACUGCGAAUACCGGAGAAUGUUAUCACGGGAGACACACGGCGGGUGCUAACGUCCGUCGUGAAGAGGGAAACAACCCAGACCGCCAGCUAAGGUCCCAAAGUCAUGGUUAAGUGGGAAACGAUGUGGGAAGGCCCAGACAGCCAGGAUGUUGGCUUAGAAGCAGCCAUCAUUUAAAGAAAGCGUAAUAGCUCACUGGUCGAGUCGGCCUGCGCGGAAGAUGUAACGGGGCUAAACCAUGCACCGAAGCUGCGGCAGCGACACUAUGUGUUGUUGGGUAGGGGAGCGUUCUGUAAGCCUGUGAAGGUGUACUGUGAGGUAUGCUGGAGGUAUCAGAAGUGCGAAUGCUGACAUAAGUAACGAUAAAGCGGGUGAAAAGCCCGCUCGCCGGAAGACCAAGGGUUCCUGUCCAACGUUAAUCGGGGCAGGGUGAGUCGACCCCUAAGGCGAGGCCGAAAGGCGUAGUCGAUGGGAAACAGGUUAAUAUUCCUGUACUUGGUGUUACUGCGAAGGGGGGACGGAGAAGGCUAUGUUGGCCGGGCGACGGUUGUCCCGGUUUAAGCGUGUAGGCUGGUUUUCCAGGCAAAUCCGGAAAAUCAAGGCUGAGGCGUGAUGACGAGGCACUACGGUGCUGAAGCAACAAAUGCCCUGCUUCCAGGAAAAGCCUCUAAGCAUCAGGUAACAUCAAAUCGUACCCCAAACCGACACAGGUGGUCAGGUAGAGAAUACCAAGGCGCUUGAGAGAACUCGGGUGAAGGAACUAGGCAAAAUGGUGCCGUAACUUCGGGAGAAGGCACGCUGAUAUGUAGGUGAAGUCCCUCGCGGAUGGAGCUGAAAUCAGUCGAAGAUACCAGCUGGCUGCAACUGUUUAUUAAAAACACAGCACUGUGCAAACACGAAAGUGGACGUAUACGGUGUGACGCCUGCCCGGUGCCGGAAGGUUAAUUGAUGGGGUCAGCGCAAGCGAAGCUCUUGAUCGAAGCCCCGGUAAACGGCGGCCGUAACUAUAACGGUCCUAAGGUAGCGAAAUUCCUUGUCGGGUAAGUUCCGACCUGCACGAAUGGCGUAAUGAUGGCCAGGCUGUCUCCACCCGAGACUCAGUGAAAUUGAACUCGCUGUGAAGAUGCAGUGUACCCGCGGCAAGACGGAAAGACCCCGUGAACCUUUACUAUAGCUUGACACUGAACAUUGAGCCUUGAUGUGUAGGAUAGGUGGGAGGCUUUGAAGUGUGGACGCCAGUCUGCAUGGAGCCGACCUUGAAAUACCACCCUUUAAUGUUUGAUGUUCUAACGUUGACCCGUAAUCCGGGUUGCGGACAGUGUCUGGUGGGUAGUUUGACUGGGGCGGUCUCCUCCUAAAGAGUAACGGAGGAGCACGAAGGUUGGCUAAUCCUGGUCGGACAUCAGGAGGUUAGUGCAAUGGCAUAAGCCAGCUUGACUGCGAGCGUGACGGCGCGAGCAGGUGCGAAAGCAGGUCAUAGUGAUCCGGUGGUUCUGAAUGGAAGGGCCAUCGCUCAACGGAUAAAAGGUACUCCGGGGAUAACAGGCUGAUACCGCCCAAGAGUUCAUAUCGACGGCGGUGUUUGGCACCUCGAUGUCGGCUCAUCACAUCCUGGGGCUGAAGUAGGUCCCAAGGGUAUGGCUGUUCGCCAUUUAAAGUGGUACGCGAGCUGGGUUUAGAACGUCGUGAGACAGUUCGGUCCCUAUCUGCCGUGGGCGCUGGAGAACUGAGGGGGGCUGCUCCUAGUACGAGAGGACCGGAGUGGACGCAUCACUGGUGUUCGGGUUGUCAUGCCAAUGGCACUGCCCGGUAGCUAAAUGCGGAAGAGAUAAGUGCUGAAAGCAUCUAAGCACGAAACUUGCCCCGAGAUGAGUUCUCCCUGACCCUUUAAGGGUCCUGAAGGAACGUUGAAGACGACGACGUUGAUAGGCCGGGUGUGUAAGCGCAGCGAUGCGUUGAGCUAACCGGUACUAAUGAACCGUGAGGCUUAACCUUACAACGCCGAAG
RNAcentral lists this ribosomal RNA (2924 nucleotides) under Escherichia coli. Its description in RNAcentral is "bacterial LSU rRNA". It matches the Rfam family "Bacterial large subunit ribosomal RNA". The record is from RNAcentral. Lineage: Bacteria; Pseudomonadati; Pseudomonadota; Gammaproteobacteria; Enterobacterales; Enterobacteriaceae.